RNAcentral lists this ribosomal RNA (429 nucleotides) under Chloroflexota bacterium. RNAcentral's name for it is "Chloroflexi bacterium partial 16S ribosomal RNA". It matches the Rfam family "Bacterial small subunit ribosomal RNA", at positions 355 to 776 of the family's 1533-position model. Lineage: Bacteria; Bacillati; Chloroflexota. The record is from RNAcentral.
UGGGGAAUAUUGCACAAUGGGCGCAAGCCUGAUGCAGCCAUGCCGCGUGUAUGAAGAAGGCCUUCGGGUUGUAAAGUACUUUCAGUCGGGAGGAAGGUGGUAAGGUUAAUAACCUUAUCAAUUGACGUUACCGACAGAAGAAGCACCGGCUAACUCCGUGCCAGCAGCCGCGGUAAUACGGCGGGUGCAAGCGUUAAUCGGAAUUACUGGGCGUAAAGCGCACGCAGGCGGUUGAUUGAGUCAGAUGUGAAAUCCCCGGGCUUAACCCGGGAAUUGCAUCUGAUACUGGUCAGCUAUAGUCUUGUAGAGGGGGGUAGAAUUCCAUGUGUAGCGGUGAAAUGCGUAGAGAUGUGGAGGAAUACCGGUGGCGAAGGCGGCCCCCUGGAAAAAGACUGACGCUCAGGUGCGAAAGCGUGGGGAGCAAACAGG